Molecule: long non-coding RNA, 1618 nt
Organism: Esox lucius (northern pike)
Lineage: Eukaryota; Metazoa; Chordata; Actinopteri; Esociformes; Esocidae
Exons: 3
Source: RefSeq, a predicted model, not a curated record
UCACGGCUACACGUCUGAAAACACUGUUUCACUUUCAGAAGCAGUGGGAUACCUCAUUCAACACGUCCCGAAACAGAAAACCUGAAACAUGCAGGAAGCCAAAGGACUCCUCCAGUUCUUCCUCUGAGUAUCCCAUGGCCCUCUUACAAGUCCGGAAGGCCUCGUACUGUGAAACAACAAGCAAGAGAGGCUCUUCAAAUCUGAUUCUCCUCUGUUCUUCAUCCUCCUAGCUCAGGGGUGGGCAAUAUUGUUCACUGGGGGGUCACAUUGAAAAUGCCAGAGAGCAUCACGGGCCAUCACCUACAAGACGCACAACAUGGCUGACUGUUAAUUGCAUAUUAUAUUUAUGCAUAUUUAUUUUCCAUGCAACACCAUUUUCAUAAUCUAACUUAAUUUAUAUUAACUAUGUUUUUUGUAUAACACUCUUGUUAACAACUGUUAUUAUGACAGGCAAUGGCCAAAGAAAUCCCUUUUCAAGGUUAUUACUCAACGGAAAUGUUGCAACACAUAUUUACCUUAAAACGUAACUUUCAACCUAACAGAGUAGGGUAUAUUACAUGAGGUAUGUUGUUAACAAGUUAUUAGGGCAGACAUAAGUCUAUGAAAUCACUUCUGAAGGUGAUCACUCAAUGCAAAUGUUGGUAUCAUUGCCGUUAUUUAACUUCACAUAGUAUAUUUUUUGUACUGCAUGCUUUUAACAAGUUAUUCCAGCAGCCCAGACCCAAGAAAUCGACUUUUAGGGCUACUCACUCAUUAUUAACAGGAGAGCCUCGUAUGGGCGUUCACAAGUGAGGUGAAGUCAGGAGUCAUUUCUGUUGAAGCAGUGUGCGGUACUGCUGCAAGACAGUUUUUUGUAUUUGGUCGCAUGCUUGCUCUGGAAGUGCCUCUGCAAACGUUAGCUUUACAUAUUAAAAAAGUUUAUUUGAACAAAUGAUAACUUCCGCGUAUGGGUUGUGGUGCUGGACCCUACAUAUCAUAGCAACGCAAAUAGCUUGUUUCAACUUAAAUGUAUUUUAAACAGACAGUAUGAUACUGAUGUACUUAUUACUGGGAGUGCCACAGGACUUUUAAUUUGAAAUAUAAUAAAUGAAGUAACGUAAUCUGCAGACCUCGUCAAGUAUUUUUAUUUUGUAUUAUUUUUUAAGUUUUAGAUGUAUCACAGGCUGGAUAUAACAACUCAGCAGGCUGGAUCCGGCUCGGGGCCUUAUCUUACCCAGGUCUGUCCUAGCUAGAUCAAUCAGCUACCUUGGACACUGUGAGGCAUCCGAUAUUCCCCACGGGGCACCUCAGUGUCUACACCAUGUGAUAGAAAUCUGGCAAUAACCCCUACAUCCUGCAUCCUACCUGGCAGGCCAAACCUAUCAAAUGCAUUUCUGAUAUGUUUGAAGAGUAUAAACCGAGCAGGGCUCUUAGAUCCAUGAACUCAGUCCAGCUAACAGAGACCAGAGGCCAAACUAAACAUGGCGAAGCUGCGUUUAGCAGUUAUGUCGCACACAACUGGGAUAAACUACCAGAAGAUCUUAAAUGUUUCCCAAACAUAUCAAUUUUUAAAUCCAGGUUAAAAACACUUCUCUUUUCACUCAUCUAUGACUGAUCGCUUAAACUUGACCAAAAUGUU